This is a long non-coding RNA of Hyla sarda, 462 nucleotides long. RefSeq lists it as uncharacterized. The transcript is spliced from 4 exons. Lineage: Eukaryota; Metazoa; Chordata; Amphibia; Anura; Hylidae. The record is from RefSeq and is a predicted model, not a curated record.
AGGUGAUUGAUGCCCGGUGAGAAGGUGAAAGUGACCUUUACCCCUGUCAGCUGCAGGAAAGGAACCAAGAGACAGGUGAUUGAUGCCCGGUGAGAGGGUGAAAGGGACCUAUACCCCCGUCAGCUGCAGUAAAGGAACAAAGAGACAGGUCAUUAAUGCCCGGUGAGAGGGUGAAAGGGACCUAUACCCCCGUCAGCUGCAGGAAAGGAACAAAGAGACAGGUCAUUAAUGCCCGGUGAGAGGGUGAAAGGGACCUAUACCCCCGUCAGCUGCAGGAAAGGAACAAAGAGACAGGUAAUUAAUAUUUAUAUUAAUUACUGAUAACAAUCAGGCUAGAUAUAACAUCUAGACCUGCAGAGAUAUCAUAGUCUCUACCUUAUACAUGAAGAUAUAUGUGUUUUUAAUAAGUAUAUCGUCUAUAGACAGCUUCUUAUAUAACACAACUGUGUCUCAGGUACAGAG